UGCAGUCGAGCGGAACGAGUUAACUGAACCUUCGGGGGACGUUAACGGCGUCGAGCGGCGGACGGGUGAGUAAUGCCUAGGAAAUUGCCCUGAUGUGGGGGAUAACCAUUGGAAACGAUGGCUAAUACCGCAUGAUGCCUACGGGCCAAAGAGGGGGACCUUCGGGCCUCUCGCGUCAGGAUAUGCCUAGGUGGGAUUAGCUAGUUGGUGAGGUAAGGGCUCACCAAGGCGACGAUCCCUAGCUGGUCUGAGAGGAUGAUCAGCCACACUGGAACUGAGACACGGUCCAGACUCCUACGGGAGGCAGCAGUGGGGAAUAUUGCACAAUGGGCGCAAGCCUGAUGCAGCCAUGCCGCGUGUGUGAAGAAGGCCUUCGGGUUGUAAAGCACUUUCAGUCGUGAGGAAGGUUUUGGGGUUAAUAGCUUAUAUAUUUGACGUUAGCGACAGAAGAAGCACCGGCUAACUCCGUGCCAGCAGCCGCGGUAAUACGGAGGGUGCGAGCGUUAAUCGGAAUUACUGGGCGUAAAGCGCAUGCAGGUGGUUUGUUAAGUCAGAUGUGAAAGCCCGGGGCUCAACCUCGGAAUAGCAUUUGAAACUGGCAGACUAGAGUACUGUAGAGGGGGGUAGAAUUUCAGGUGUAGCGGUGAAAUGCGUAGAGAUCUGAAGGAAUACCGGUGGCGAAGGCGGCCCCCUGGACAGAUACUGACACUCAGAUGCGAAAGCGUGGGGAGCAAACAGGAUUAGAUACCCUGGUAGUCCACGCCGUAAACGAUGUCUACUUGGAGGUUGUGGCCUUGAGCCGUGGCUUUCGGAGCUAACGCGUUAAGUAGACCGCCUGGGGAGUACGGUCGCAAGAUUAAAACUCAAAUGAAUUGACGGGGGCCCGCACAAGCGGUGGAGCAUGUGGUUUAAUUCGAUGCAACGCGAAGAACCUUACCUACUCUUGACAUCCAGAGAACUUUUCAGAGAUGAAUUGGUGCCUUCGGGAACUCUGAGACAGGUGCUGCAUGGCUGUCGUCAGCUCGUGUUGUGAAAUGUUGGGUUAAGUCCCGCAACGAGCGCAACCCUUAUCCUUGUUUGCCAGCGAGUAAUGUCGGGAACUCCAGGGAGACUGCCGGUGAUAAACCGGAGGAAGGUGGGGACGACGUCAAGUCAUCAUGGCCCUUACGAGUAGGGCUACACACGUGCUACAAUGGCGCAUACAGAGGGCGGCCAACUUGCGAAAGUGAGCGAAUCCCAAAAAGUGCGUCGUAGUCCGGAUUGGAGUCUGCAACUCGACUCCAUGAAGUCGGAAUCGCUAGUAAUCGUGGAUCAGAAUGCCACGGUGAAUACGUUCCCGGGCCUUGUACACACCGCCCGUCACACCAUGGGAGUGGGCUGCAAAAGAAGUAGGUAGUUUAACCUUCGGGGGG
Molecule: ribosomal RNA, 1412 nt
Filed under: Vibrio natriegens
Lineage: Bacteria; Pseudomonadati; Pseudomonadota; Gammaproteobacteria; Vibrionales; Vibrionaceae
Description: bacterial SSU rRNA
Rfam family: Bacterial small subunit ribosomal RNA
Source: RNAcentral